Long non-coding RNA from Uranotaenia lowii, 1089 nucleotides. RefSeq lists it as uncharacterized. The transcript is spliced from 3 exons. The record is from RefSeq and is a predicted model, not a curated record. Lineage: Eukaryota; Metazoa; Arthropoda; Insecta; Diptera; Culicidae.
GUUUCUUUGCGAGCUACUUCAAACAUCUCAUCGCCCCGCAUUGGUCGGUAGGAAGUGCGCCAUGAAGGCUAAGAGAGUGAUAAAGUGACACGCAAUCGUGCCUCAUAAAUUCAACUCCUAAGCACUUCUCAAAAAAAACCCCAAAAAGCAACAAACAAAUACACAAACACUCAGGCAAACAUCGAACGAUGCGUCACCAGGGACAUCCGGUUUACUGUCAACGUCGUCAGAUGACGGCAAAAGGGCGGGUAGCUUGUCCUGAAACCGGAACUGGAAUCGGUGUGGAAAAUUCAUUCACAUUCACAUGUACCCACCUACCCAGUCAACGGAGAUUUGCUAUCGGAAACCGGCACAUCCUUGUUUGAGUGAAGCGUCCAUCCAAACUAGUAGCAGACAACAACGAGGUUGUAAAUCACAUCCAUCAGUCUAUUAAAAUUGUUCAAAUCUCAAGUAUCAGCUGUCGAUUGCCUGCAACCAUUGAUUACUUAAGUUAGAAAUUCGACCGCGAAAACAAUCUGGCUAGUAGGCUUGGGUUGAAAUUAAUUAAAUGAAUGAAAUUCCAACGCCUACCGUGAUAUCCCUGAGGAUCGCUUAAAAUUGAAAUAAUAAACGAGAAACAGCCUUCUGCUCCAGGUCAAGAUAUCACAUCGCAAAGGAAAAGAAAACAAAAUUCUUCUCCCGACUGGUAAGCUCGAGCAAAUUGGAAUUUCCCAAAUGCCAUGGACUCUAAUUAAAGUAUUACUACACCGAGAUAGUGAAAAAAACCAAGCAUCCCUUCUACUAAGAUCGAAUCAGCUAAAUGGGGAUCCCGGGGAAAAAAUUCCACUCACCUUAAACUUAUCCGGGCUCUUGGAGUCUUCGAUGAAUUUGAAAAUAUCCUCGACCGCCUUUAUCAUCAGCCCAUUGUCGGCGGACCUAAGCGGACCAGACGAACCGGACCCGGAAGCAGAAGACGAGGGGAACCCCGGCUGUUGCGAGUCAAAGGUGGCUCGUUUGGGGUUCGGUCCCAGCAUGGUGUGCGUCUUGCCAGAACCGGUGGCGCCGUAGGCAAAAACCGCUGCAUUGUAGCCAUUCAGAACGUCCUGAACA